AGUUGUAAAAUACAUAUUACAGUAGAUUUCUUUUGUGUGCUACAUUGAAACUGAACUUUGUUUCACAGACUGAAGAAAGAACAAGGAAAUGAAACGAAAUGAGACUAUGAAACACUUUGUUUUUGGGUAACAGCUUAAAUUGAUCCUGAGUAAGGUAAUUGGACUUUACUCUGUGUGAGACCCAGGGUCCAAUAGGCCAUUCAUGUU
Molecule: unclassified non-coding RNA, 207 nt
Filed under: Hevea brasiliensis (rubber tree)
Lineage: Eukaryota; Viridiplantae; Streptophyta; Magnoliopsida; Malpighiales; Euphorbiaceae
Source: RNAcentral